RNAcentral lists this ribosomal RNA (500 nucleotides) under uncultured bacterium. RNAcentral's name for it is "partial 16S ribosomal RNA". It matches the Rfam family "Bacterial small subunit ribosomal RNA", at positions 28 to 508 of the family's 1533-position model. The record is from RNAcentral.
GACGAACGCUGGCGGCGUGCCUAAUACAUGCAAGUCGAGCGAAGUUUUUCUGGUGCUUGCACCGGAAAAACUUAGCGGCGAACGGGUGAGUAACACGUAAAGAACCUGCCUCAUAGACUGGGACAACUAUUGGAAACGAUAGCUAAUACCGGAUAAUAUCAUUAACUGCAUGGUUGAUGUUUAAAAGUUGGUUUUGCUAACACUAUGAGAUGUCUUUGCGGUGCAUUAGCUAGUUGGUGGGGUAAAGGCCUACCAAGGCGACGAUGCAUAGCCGACCUGAGAGGGGGAUCGGCCAACAUGGGAAUGAGGAAAGGCCCCGACUCCUAAGGGAGGCAGCAGUAGGGAAUCUUCCGCAAUGGGCGAAAGCCUGACGGAGCAACGCCGCGUGAGUGAAGAAGGAUUUCGGUUCGUAAAGCUCUGUUGUUAGGGAAGAAUGAUUGUGUAGUAAAUAUACACAGUAGAGAAGGUACCUAACCAGAAAGCCACGGCUAACUAAGUGC